UAUAUAAAAGGCUCCAAGGAGGGCUCAACUGGACAGUACAUUUUUUUAAACCAAAGGUCAUAUUGAUUAUUUCAUGCAGCUUUGAAAUUAGUCCCAAAGACAGUCCCAAGGGAGGAAUUUCAACACAACCUGACUGAUAAGAGCAUCCUGAGAAUAAGACCACAGUAGUAACUGUGAAACCCAUACGUGGCUACCUGUAUGCAUCCUGGUUUUCCUGUUAAAGUUCCAGUCACUUUAUAAUGUUUCACAGAAACUUUUUUUCCCCUGCAAAAAGCGCUAUUUUUUCCAUUUGGCCCAAGCCUUGGAGAGGGCUCCAGGGUGGUUAACAAGCUGCCCAGUGGCUGCAGGGACAGGCUUCAGGGAGAAGCCCUGACCCCAGAGGGGCUCCUCACAGGCCGCUGGGCUCCAGGGGCUCCUAGUGGUGCCUGAGGCUGAGACUUUGGAAGAAACAUUCGCCCAGCCCAGCCUGGGGGCCGAGCAGCCCGCGGAGGUUGGUCAGGCGGUCGCCCAUCUUCUUGAUGAGCUUCACCGGCUCAUCCAGGAAGUGGCUCCAGGAAGUCCAGAGGUGGAGUCUGCGCGGGCAGAGCCCAGGGCCUGCGGACCCACAGGGCCUGGCGCAGGUUCUUCUCCGUCAGCCGGGCGGCUUCCACGGCGUCCUGGGCUUUCCCCACGCUCCUGGGACGGCUUCGGCACGUCCUGUAAGAGGGCGAGGCCACAGCGCUGCUUUUGCCUUUUCCAGUGAGCUCGGGCCCUCCGGCUUCUCCUCGGCCAGUUCGCGAAACGAUGUCUCACGCCCUCGAGAAGCGCAGAGACAGUUGCAGUUCAGCACAUAGAAAAUUAGAAACGCCCGUCUACUCAGGAGUAAAGACUUCAAGAAACACCAGGAAGAGGAAAGACUUAGGACUCACCUGGGAUGACAACACAGCUACAUGAUCAUCCUCACCCCUCUGGUUACUAAUAAAAAGACAUUUUAAUCAAAGAAGACAAUACACCUGGCAAAGAACACAGGAAUGUUCAACAUCAUGAAUCACUAGAGAAAUGCAUCAGACCACAGUGAGUCCCACAGAGAGCCCUGCACUCUACCCCAGAAGGCCUUGGACAAUGAUGCAAAAUGGGCCAGAACUGGAGUGAAAACUAUUCUCUGCCAUGAUACUACCCCCAGUGAGGUAUACUAAGUUUGGAACACCCACAAAACCUGUUCCUGUGUCCUGUCCUAGCCAGUUGAUGGAAGAGAAUGACAAAACCCACUUGCUCAGGGAAUUCAUGCUUUUCUACAGGGGAUACGAGAGCACAAAAGGCUACCUACCCUGAUCACACUUAGAUGACUGAGUCCCAGUAUGGGGAUCUGCCACUUGGAAAAGUGUGACUGUCUUCUUAAGGCCUCUCUCCUGUGUGGACUCUCUCAUGCUCUGCAAGCCUAUACAUCCAGGGGUAGGCUUUCCCGCACUUAUAGAGACUUUUACCAUUGUGAAACACUGCUGUGCAGUCAGCAUCCUUUUGUGGAGUGACCUGGUGCUGGAGAAGGCUAGAGCUACCAGGGAAAUCCAUCCCAGCCUCCUGGCAUGUGAAGGAGUUCUUGGAUGCAUGGACUAUGU
Lagenorhynchus albirostris (white-beaked dolphin) is the source of this 1595-nucleotide long non-coding RNA. RefSeq lists it as uncharacterized. The transcript is spliced from 5 exons. The record is from RefSeq and is a predicted model, not a curated record. Lineage: Eukaryota; Metazoa; Chordata; Mammalia; Artiodactyla; Delphinidae.